GCAUAUCAAUAAGCGGAGGAAAAGAAACCAACAGGGAUUGCCUCAGUAACGGCGAGUGAAGCGGCAACAGCUCAAAUUUGAAAUCUGGCCCCCAGGCCCGAGUUGUAAUUUGUAGAGGAUGCUUCUGGCGACGCGACUUCCGAGUUCCCUGGAACGGGACGCCAAAGAGGGUGAGAGCCCCGUCCGGUCGUUCGCCUAGCCUCUGUGAAGCUCCUUCGACGAGUCGAGUAGUUUGGGAAUGCUGCUCUAAAUGGGAGGUAUACGUCUUCUAAAGCUAAAUACCGGCCAGAGACCGAUAGCGCACAAGUAGAGUGAUCGAAAGAUGAAAAGCACUUUGAAAAGAGGGUUAAAUAGUACGUGAAAUUGCUGAAAGGGAAGCGCUUAUGACCAGACUUGGGCCAGGUGAAUCAUCCGGCGUUCUCGCCGGUGCACUUUGCCUGCCCAGGCCAGCAUCAGUUCGCUUCGGGGGAUAAAGGCUUCGGGAAUGUGGCUCCUCCGGGAGUGUUAUAGACCGUUGCGUAAUACCCUGGGGCGGACUGAGGUACGCGUUCUGCAAGGAUGCUGGCGUAAUGGUCAUCAGUGACCCGUCUUGAAACACGGACCAAGGAGUCGUCUUCGUAUGCGAGUGUUCGGGUGUCAAACCCCUACGCGUAAUGAAAGUGAACGUAGGAGAGAGCUUCGGCGCAUCUCCGACCGAUCCUGAUGUUCUCGGAUGGAUUUGAGUAAGAGCAUACGGGGCCGGACCCGAAAGAAGGUGAACUAUGCCUGUAUAGGGUGAAGCCAGAGGAAACUCUGGUGGAGGCUCGCAGCGGUUCUGACGUGCAAAUCGAUCGUCAAAUAUGGGCAUGGGGGCGAAAGACUAAUCGAACCUUCUAGUAGCUGGUUUCCGC
Molecule: ribosomal RNA, 890 nt
Filed under: Geosmithia sp.
Lineage: Eukaryota; Fungi; Ascomycota; Sordariomycetes; Hypocreales; Bionectriaceae
Description: partial large subunit ribosomal RNA
Rfam family: Eukaryotic large subunit ribosomal RNA
Source: RNAcentral